UGUAAAACCGGAAAGCAAGUUCCAUUGAAUCGCACCGAAUUGUCUCCACAUCCGUCGGAUGGAAAGUCUACUCCUGUCACUGGCAUCGUGAUUUGUUACCCGCAAAACGGAAAACUUGUAAACUAACAUCGGUUGGUAUCCGGGAUAGUUGCACAUUUUGGCUUUUCAGAUAUCCAUCCGCGUUUGUCGUCGCACUGUAGAACGACAGCUGGACUCACAUUUCCAAACAUCUCGUCUGUGUUUCACACUGUUGUUUCUUGACCGUAUGAAUGAGCUAGUUCAUGACGUGGUGUCCGAAAUGAAACUAAACGUAUUCUUGGUGUCGCACCUUUUUACGUUAAAUGUUUUUCCAAAAUGCGGUUUCUCUGAGCUACCGUAAGAACCAAGUGGAGCGUAGUUUUGCUGUGGAGACGGUUGGGUGCGGUAAUUGGAGGUAUUGUCGAGUUUAUUGCCUGCGCCACUGGAGUUGCAACUGUUUGGAUUUUGUCUACGGUAGUGAUAUCUCGCAACAACUUUAACUGCCGCGUUGGUUAAAGCCGUUGAUGAUGAUUGCACGAAGAAUUCUGAUUGAUGGGAGAUGGCCCUACCUAGGAGGAACUAAAUCGUAAAUCCCGCACGGCUGCCUCCGUCAUUUUUCAUGACCCAGCGAGUUUCGUGUCUUUUUUUAAAGAAUGAUGCCCUUUUCGUUUACUCGAAGAGCUUUUUGUCGCUUCUUUUGAUUUUAUGCGACUUGACCUGCUGGAUGCGGGGAACUUCUUUGCUACAUGGACUUUCGUGGCCCCAUUUCGGAAUAUCAAGUAGGCUGUCGUGUCAACAGACAAACAUGGUUUUGCAUCACAAAACUAUUUAGCCUGGAGUAAAAUGUAACACAAUCUUUCGAAAGAGAUCAGCCGCCUCCGUUAAUUAUUAAUUGGCAUUGUUUUUUCUUUUCAUUAUUCAGGUACAUAGGGCUAACCUUUAAUUAUUCACAAGACCAUCUACGACGACAAGGUCAUCAAAAGGUUUGCAGAUUUUCCGUUGGCGACAUAAUACUUCCAAAUCCAAUGGCUGUGGAAUAUGUGUGGAAUGUCCUAGUAAGAUACGAUACAAAAUAAAAGGCAUAUUCGUAAACACACAGCAUCGACAUCUAGUGAUCAGGAGACAUACUACACAAACGUAAAUCCUGAGGCGGAAAAACAAAAAAGACGAAAAAAGAAAAAAUAUACAAACAAAAAUAAAAUAAAUCCCCCAGACCCCCACCUUUAUCAAGUUUAUGCAAUAUUGCGUAUUAAGAAAAUUCGAACUCUCCUUCACUUUAAAAUAAAAGUAUAACAGUGCAACACUGCAAAACUGCCGAGCUAUUUUAGUGUGAACACUGAACAGUGAACAGUGAGAACCAGUUGGUACUUCCAACAGGCUCCCGAAAUAAGCUUUCGUCGUCGUGACGUUUGAACGUUUCAAGAAAGCUGAUUGAUCAUAUCAGAAUGAUUUAACUGUCGAGUGAAGGAUUUGCGUUCGAGACAAUUCGCAAACCGUAAAUGACUAAAUGGAUCAAUCGAGUUUCGCCAUUUUGAUUCUGUGUCUGAGUGUCUCAACGAUUCCACUUGUAUGGUCUGCUGCACGCCCAAAGUCUCAGACAGCAGCAAAAUGCAAGUGCUCCGUGAUUUUAUCGUAUCCAAAAUAUGAAAAUUAUUUGUUAGCUGCCUAGACUGUCAUGUGAUUGGAAAAAUGACGACACGCCUGGCAUC
This is a long non-coding RNA of Daphnia pulicaria, 1727 nucleotides long. RefSeq lists it as uncharacterized. The transcript is spliced from 7 exons. NCBI's taxonomy places the organism in Eukaryota, Metazoa, Arthropoda, Branchiopoda, Diplostraca, Daphniidae. The record is from RefSeq and is a predicted model, not a curated record.